RNAcentral lists this transfer RNA (77 nucleotides) under Acidimicrobiales bacterium. Its description in RNAcentral is "tRNA-Ala". It matches the Rfam family "tRNA". From Rfam's summary of the family: Transfer RNA (tRNA) molecules are approximately 80 nucleotides in length. Their secondary structure includes four short double-helical elements and three loops (D, anti-codon, and T loops). Further hydrogen bonds mediate the characteristic L-shaped molecular structure. tRNAs have two regions of fundamental functional importance: the anti-codon, which is responsible for specific mRNA codon recognition, and the 3' end, to which the tRNAs corresponding amino acid is attached (by aminoacyl-tRNA synthetases). tRNAs cope with the degeneracy of the genetic code in two manners: having more than one tRNA (with a specific anti-codon) for a particular amino acid; and 'wobble' base-pairing, i.e. permitting non-standard base-pairing at the 3rd anti-codon position. The record is from RNAcentral. RNAcentral also lists the same sequence under 2 other names. Lineage: Bacteria; Bacillati; Actinomycetota; Acidimicrobiia; Acidimicrobiales.
GGGGCUGUAGCUCAGCUGGUCAGAGCAACUGGUUUGCAACCAGUAGGUCACGGGUUCGAAUCCCGUCAGCUCCACCA